RNAcentral lists this ribosomal RNA (332 nucleotides) under uncultured bacterium. RNAcentral describes it as "bacterial SSU rRNA". It matches the Rfam family "Bacterial small subunit ribosomal RNA", at positions 28 to 354 of the family's 1533-position model. The record is from RNAcentral.
GAUGAACGCUAGCGGCAGGCUUAAUACAUGCAAGUCGUGGGGCAGCAUGAGUAGCAAUACUUGAUGGCGACCGGCAAACGGGUGAGGAACACGUACACAACCUUCCUCCAAAGCGGGGAAUAGCCCAGAGAAAUUUGGAUUAAUACCCCAUAAUAUAUUUGAUAAGGCAUCUUAUUAAAUAUUAAAGCUUCGGCACUUGAUGAUGGGUGUGCGGCUGAUUAGAUAGUUGGCGGGGUAACGGCCCACCAAGUCUACGAUCAGUAGCUGAUGUGAGAGCAUGAUCAGCCACACGGGCACUGAGACACGGGCCCGACUCCUACGGGAGGCAGCAG